RNAcentral lists this long non-coding RNA (375 nucleotides) under Selaginella moellendorffii. RNAcentral describes it as "long non-coding RNA (SMOE_LNC001416)". The record is from RNAcentral. Lineage: Eukaryota; Viridiplantae; Streptophyta; Lycopodiopsida; Selaginellales; Selaginellaceae.
AGCACUGCCAGUCCGUUUCUCCAUCGGAGUUUCCCACUUUGGUAUGUGUUUCACUAGAAAUUGUUCUUGAAGGUUUGACCGUGCCUUUCAGAAGAAGAGGCUUACAUACUUCACAACAAACAGUUCGACGACCAACAAGCUACUCACUUGUGGCGACAAGGCUUGCUCCAGCAGCUCGUGCACCGGCAACUCCUCAGUCUGUCCAUACACGGUUAGAUAUCUUUCAGAGAACACUUCUACCUCAGGAAAACUAGUGGAGGAUGUGAUUCACCUUUUCAAGCCAUCGACAAGCUCUGCCAUUACUGCCAGAAUCAUUUUUGGGUGAGGAUGUUUUCCAUUCUUCAGAGCUUUUCUUGACUAUUUGCAGCAAACAGG